UACGUAGGGGGCAAGCGUUGUCCGGAAUUAUUGGGCGUAAAGCGCACGUAGGCGGUUUGUUAUGUCGGAUGUGAAAGCCCUUGGCUCAACUGAGGAAGUGCAUCCGAAACUGGCAAGCUAGAGUAUGUAAGAGGGUCGCGGAAUUCCCGGUGUAGAGGUGAAAUUCGUAGAUAUCGGGAGGAACACCGGUGGCGAAGGCGGCGACCUGGGACAAUACUGACGCUGAGGUGCGAAAGCGUGGGGAGCAAACAGG
Molecule: ribosomal RNA, 253 nt
Filed under: uncultured bacterium
Lineage: Bacteria
Description: partial 16S ribosomal RNA
Rfam family: Bacterial small subunit ribosomal RNA
Source: RNAcentral